UGUUGACUUUGAUGUUUUAAGUGGGUUUGUGAUAAACCUGGUUUUGCCUCCAGCAAUGCCACUACAAGAGCUAAAGCAAGGGUGAGGGGUGCUUUUCACACACCUGGGCAGGCUCUGGAGAUGCCGUGACCCUUUGGGCACUCCGAGCAUCACGUUUCCUUCCAAAGACUGAAGAUUUAACGAAAGAACCGCUUGUAGAAAUGCCUCCAGCUCAACCAGCUGAGGCAGCGCUGCUGGAAGUCAUGUGCAGUUAAAAACAAAGCAGUGGCCAGGGCCGGGUCAAUGUUUAACCCUGCUGGGGAGGGCACAGGAGUGCAGUUGGUGGUGGGAUCCAGCUCGGCAGGCAGCCCAGAGCUCUGCAUUAGAGCACUGCUUUCAAGAGGGGGAGCUUUUCCUUCUUCCCAAGCCUUACACAAUGGGCCUCAGCUCUUCCAAGGCGCACCCCAGGGUGACCCGGGUGGCACCGAUGCUCAGCGCUGAGGAGGUGCUGGGGGAGCCCGGCCUGCACCCAACAGCCACAAUGGAGCACGGACAUCCCAUAACCCACAGGCAGCUCCCACCCCUCCGCCAGACCGGGUACGGGAGAGCCUCCGCAGGUCCUCUGGAGUUCAACACCGUGCCGGAGAAUGGAGCCAGCAGCAUCAUCAAGCUGCACCCACCUCGGCGACCGCAGAGGCUUGAACCUGCUCGCACUCCGCAGGGGAUUACUGCUGCAAAGCCCUGGAGCCAGCAAGAGGCGGAUGGAGCCCCAAAAGCCACGACUCUGGAGAAGAGGGGGCAGAACCUGAGAGCCCUCCCUGGCAGGCGGCAGCACUUGCACAAGAUGCAGAUGCUGGACUUGACGCGCCGGCGCCGAGAGGCGGAGCUGAUGCGGGAUCUCCACAGGGAGGCAAAAAUCAAUAAACAAAAAAUCAAGGAACUGGGCUCGGAGAUGGUCCUUGAUGCUCUUCAGAGAAGCGACAGCGCCAGAAGCCGAGACCUCGUUCCCGCCGAGCACAAUCAGCAUUUUAAUGGAGACCCUGGAAACAGAGGGCAUGGAGGACUCGCAGGGCAGCACGCCGGGGCUGGGCUUCCCCCAGGCAGCAGCAGCAAGGUCGGGCUGUGGUUCUGCAGGGAGCCGAGCACCAGGGACCUGCUCUGGGACACUUCCAGCACUGACUCUGAGGACUGGGAGAGGGAAGAGAAAAAGCUUUACCGUAGACCUCCGCUGGUGAGAACCAGGACAGAGAGGGUUUCACUCUUCGAUGACUUCUUUGAUAAAGAGUUUUAGCAGCGUGGCUUGGGAUGUGCUGAAGGAACAAGCCAUGAUCUCUGCUCUGCUCUGGAUAAGACCCAUGGCACAGACAUGAUGUUUGCAAUGUGCAGCAUUUCUGAACGCAGAGACUAGCAGAGAGGAGCACUGGAGAUGAGGAGGCUGAUGUGCGGCCAGAAAGGACAAGUCUGGCCUCUCUAGUUGUACAGCCCACCACAGCAAGUCUGCGUGCUUUGGGGAGAAAGCUGCUCCUUGGAGCCACGUGCGAGUGCAUGGAAUAGCCAAGAAAACAAACCCCACCAUGGAAAAGUAAGAAAACUGCUUUUAAUGAGAAAGAAGACCCGCUAAUGAGUCUGUGUUUUAAAAGCAUCCCUGUCUGCUUUUCUCGUAAACACGGUCAUCGUGUGUGAGCUGGAAGGAUCCUGAGAGCCCUGAAUUCAGCACUGAGGGUAGGCCGGAAAGGUCAACGGUUUAAUGGGCUGGAACAAUUAAUCUGGCACUUUUCUAUACACCUGUCCUCUUAAUGAUUCGACGCAUCUCCCUUCUGUGUUCCCAUCUGUCAACAAUUAAGCUGUAAUUGGUGGAAAUGCAAUUUAUCUCGGAUAGAGCUGAUUCGUUUCCCGAUAAUCGCGUUGCCAGCACUUGGGAAGAGCGCUGCCCACGGAGAGGGUGUGCAGAACAGUCAAUCCACAGCACAGACUGCACGGAGACGCCGAGUGUUAAUUUGUCAACUCGCAGUGUGCAAAAUUUUCUCUUCUGGAGGCAAUAAAGCCAGGAAACCCGCUUUCUGCUUCUCGGGCUCAGAAUCGUUUGCCUGUACUGCUUUCAAUAGUGUUAACUCAUCAUGACCUGGAGAGAGGCAGAUGGCAACUCAUCCUGCUCUCACGUUUCCUAACGUCCUUCCAGGGGCUAGAAAUGAAAGCAUUUUCUCUAUUACUAAAGGGGAAACUUAGACCUCUCUGCAAAUUCCAGAAGAUUAAAAAAAAAACAAACCACCACAAUGCCGAGGCUGUUUUCCUCUGGAAAAACUCCCGAUUCCAAACGCUUGAUACCAUCUCAUCAUCUGAAGGAUGAAUCACUACAGCCAGCUAUGCAGAGGAUGAGAUUUGCUGCUCAGAACCGCGCUCACGUGGUGCUCAUGAAGUCACGCAUGACGGAAAGAAACUCCUGGCUCGAGGUUGCCUCUGCAGCAAGGAGAGGCUGGAGUGAUCCUGCUGGCUGCCAGGGAUGGAUAUGGGAUGAGUUUUGAAGGAUAACGAUGACAGCUCAUGAGCAGGGGUUGACUUUGGUGGUGCCAAGAGGCAAGGCUCCACAAUGUGGAAGUGAAGUGGGGUAGGUCUGUUCUCAUUCACUGGAGGGCAGUUGAACAAGAAAACAUUUAAAGGUCCCUUCCAGCAGUUCUAGGAGAUGUAGGUCAGAUAGAUCUCUGCCCCAAAGCACAAGGGCUUUGGAUUCUCCCUCUCAAAGGGCUGUAGGAUGGGUGUGGUGGUGUUGGUGAGAUGGUGUAGUGAAAAUGCUAAGUUGGGCCUCAACCAGUGAUGGAACACCUGGUGGGAAGGCAGGGCCAACCCAGGAGAGCUCAGGUGCAUGCAAUGCACCUGAGUGACUGGAAGGGGGGGAGCCGGGAGAUCCCUGCAUACCCAAGGCCUUCUGAAGGUAAGCACAUUCUUUCCUUUGUUUCUGUGUCCAUGGCUGUUGCAUUUGAGUAAGUCCUCGCUUGCUGAAAGGACUUGAAAUGCUGUCAUUGCUGUGCUUUCCAUCGCAUUACAGAUGGCCAGAGCAGGACAAGUUUCUCUUGCUCAGGAUUAACCAAACUGAUUUUGCUGCAAUGUUCGAACAAAACAACAGUGCUUGGCCACAGGCAGGCAGCUGAGCCAGGGACAGUCAACACCAAUGGUUAAUAUCUGGCUAAAUCAUUAGCAAUUAAAUGUGCCACUUGAAAGAGGAAAUCUUGAAGAACCUUUCCUCUGUAUUACACUUAUACUUAGCUAAGAGAAGCAGCGGGUAAGGAAAACUGAACAAAGCUCGGUGCUGUGCUGUAAUUGGCCCUCACCACACAGUCUGUGUUUAUGCCAGUUUCUCAUCUUCUCAUGUUCUGUCCCCCCAUGCUCAGAGCUUUAGAUGUCCUCAGGAACGUGGGUGUUCAGCAUCAAGCAGUAUCCUCCCAACACCUGCCCACAUUCAAAAGCAGAAAAAAAAAAAACCCACCAUCAAUGGCUCUAGAAUGUUUCUCCAACCUCAUUAAUCCCUUAUCUCCCUGCCUCCCUGGGAGGUGUGAGAGGCAGCUCGGAUUGUUUCAGUCUCCUUACCCAAAGUAAGCUCCAUUUCAAGCUGUACACAAAGAUUACAGUGUAAUCAUCAGCUUGGUUUGUCUAACCAGGUAACCUCAGAUGAUGCUGCAGUAGCACAGCCCCAAGCCUGUUGUUUCCCAGCUUUGGAAGUACUGAUUAAUCCCUCUGGGUUCCCAGCUUUUCUGAACAGGCUGAUGGUUGGACUAGAAGAUCAUAGCUGUCUUUUCCAACCUUAAUGAUUGUAAAAAUCCUCUAAAUUACUCGAGGAAGGUUGAGUGGUGGCACAGGGGGACCCUGAGGAACAAGGAGGGGUGGGUAUGGAAGGAUGGUGCCCUUUCUGGGAUGUCACAUGCUGCUGGUGGUGCUGGGCAGCUGGCCAGGAGGCACACAAUCGCUGAUGGGAUGGAGCUGCCCACAGCUCCCUCCUGUUCUGCAAGAGAACAAGCAUUUAUUCCUCGCCUAGCAAUAGGAUUGUAGCUUUUUGCCACCUACUGACAUGUUGUGGGAAUGGCUCAUCCUGCAACUCCCUGCACAAAGGCUGAUAGUGCAGCCAGCAUCUGCUGAACGGUCUGCAAGAAUAUAAGUGAGUGAGAUACCCCCCCUUGGCACACUGACAGGAGAGCAGCAUGCAUUUGAUCAGUUGUUCCUUGCUAUAUAGGAGCUGAAAAUCCCAGUGGGUCCCUUCCACCUCAGGACAGUGUGUGAUUCCAGAAUAAUUCCCUCCUUGUCCCAUGCCUUGAGCACCUCUUACUGCAUCCUUCCAGACAGCAGUGCCACGGGAGAAAUCUGGCAUUCCACCUGCAAAACAGCCUCUUGGCUUCUUUUCCUUUUACCUCUUCCCCAGUUCUUCUAUCUUUUUUUCCCCUUCCACCUCCUCCUAAAGCCCCUGCUGGCUUUAGCCCUUGCCCAAGGCACCUUCCAUCUUCUUACUGGUGAACAGAAGCUCUCUGCAGGAUCCUGAGCAUUGCUUAACCUUCACUUAAAUCCUCUUCUGAUGCUCUAAGCAAUGCACAGUGCUAAGAGUGCUAACUCAUCGCUCAAAGUCAAUUUCAAAACCUGUGAGAGAGCCAGGAGUACUUUUUGUUGUCUCUUUCUGGGGAUGCUGGAUGAUGUGUCAUUGCUGUGGGCACUUCUGUUGUGGCUCUUGUCCUCUGGUGCAGUUUGACAAAGCUCAGCUCAGCUGAGUCUUCUCUGUGCUUAUUGAGCACGGACACCCCUGGCCUCCCAGUGACUCUUAGUGGAAGUGUGAGCCCUCAGAAUUAAGAAAUACCUGUGGUGGUUCUGGGAAGCCCUACAUCUGACGAAUGCUUCAUCUGCUCAGAGCUUCUCUCAUUUUGGUUCAUUCAGCUUUCAUUCUUCUUCACUUCCAUCAGCACUAUGGUUUGCUAAUGUGCAUCCGAAGUCAGAGGGUAGACUAAAUCUGCCAUGUUGCUGAUCCAGCCUUGAAUUCCCUGCUCCUAUAAAGUCACCCCGAGACACAGAGUCUCCUGUGCUGAUAUUUAUUAGCUGGUAGUCCAACUAACGACCCUUUUAAUCAAAUCAGGCUUUGUGCAGCACAUGAUCUUGUUGAUAACAACCAAACACACUGCAUUAACUCAGAACUUUCUCAAAAGAAAGCUGGUUCACAACUGUUCUGGGAGAAAAGCAAAGCAGGGCACUGUUAGUUCUGUAGUCUCACUGAACUUCUGUGGCCAGCUACCAGCCUCUAUCUGGUCCUUGCUUGGUCCCUGUUGCAGCCACCGCCCCAGAAUAAUCAAUGUGGCUUGCAACUGAUUUCUGCACUGCAAAAACACUGAGUUUCAAAGCCAGGCGCCCCUUCUGUUUACCACACAAACCACCUCCUUCAGCUUGGCCAAGCUGACCUAAAAAUACAGCCUUUUGCCACACAGAGCCUCCCUUGUGAGGCAGAUUUUCCUUACAGUGCUCUUCUGUCUUUAAAACCCCCCCUUAGCACAGUUCCCCAUCCUUCAAUGCACGUGGACACUGGGGCUAAGUGACCAACACCUCACGUCACAGCCAUACUGAGGCCUUGUGUGUGCCCCAGAGCAGCUUUCCACUCCUUGUCCUUUUCCCUGGGGUUGCUCUAGGCUUGAAAUUCCAGGCAAACCUAAGUGCUUUGGGUUGAGGUUUCUCCUCCGGUUUUGUUAUUGAAAUCCCAAUUUUUAGGAACAGCGAGUUAUUGACACCACUUUGGUAAAGCUAAUUUGUAACAAGGACUUAGCUCAGCGUUACUGAAAGUAAUCAGCAGUGAUCUCGUCCACAUCUUUGUGAAGUUAGAGCAGAAAAAAAGGCAAAAAAAAAAACAACAAUGGGUCUCUUCGAUCUCUAAGAACCAUCUUACCAGAAGCACUGCCUUCAAACUUCAUUCCUUCCUUCCCCCCUUCCCUCCUCCUUGCAUGCUCCAAGACUGGAUGCUUCCUGCACUCAACCAUCCACAAGGUGCACUUCCAAGGGCUGACCAGGAAAGAUGACAUUUCUUUGAAAGACAACCAAAAGAUCCCGGAGAGAAACGUCAAGCAAAGAACCACCAACAAUGUUUUGUACGGAUCCUUUUUCUCACAGCACAGAAAGCACUGCCACCUUCCUGCUUCACCGAGAGGUUUUGCUUCAGUGAGCAGGCAAAUACACACGAAGCUCCUAACUUUGAAGACAAACAUCUCUGCUUCCAGAGUGCAGCCAGGAACCCAGCACCUGGAGAAGCAAGAACAUUACCCACACAAUCAAAUCUGUCAAAACUCAGGCUUUCCUUGUGGACAGAGAUCUUGGGCUAAAUGUGCUGGAAGAUCAAAGAGUGGACCUGGUCUGAAGGCACCACACUAGGCUGUGGGCACUUUUUGUUGUCCCCCCCCCAUCGAGGUGACAUUGGUUUCGGUUAUUUGUUUCUCUCAGGACUACACAGGUGUAGCACCUCUUGCUGCAGCAUCACAUUUUCUAACAGCUUAGCAGCUGAAGGUCCUUGCUCAUUUAUAGCCAAAGAACUUUUCCUAAGGUGGUUUUCCAGAGGCCCACAGGCUUCUGCUCAAGGUCCCUUCAAGUGGCCUCACAGAAUCAUUAAGGUUGGAAAGGCAACUAAGAUCCCCAAGACCAACCCCCUCCAUUGUGCCCACUGACCACAUCCCUCAGUGCCACAUCUCCAGGGCUCUUGAACACCUCCAGGGAUGGUGACUCCACCAGUCCCAAGGCAGCCUGUGCCAGUGCCUGAUUGCUCUUUCAGAGAAGAAAUGUUUCCUAAUAUCUAACGUGAACCUCCUCUGGUGCAACUUAAGGCCAUUACUUCACACAAAACUAAAUUUCAAAAGAACUUAUCGCUUAUUGUGUGGAAUUAGGAUCAGAUGUAAUUAAGUUUUACUAGAAGCAAACAAACGGGUUUUCAAAGAAAAAAGUAGAGCAUAUAAUUUCGGGUUUCCUUCAUAAAUGGUUUCAGUUGGUGGGAACGCUGACAGAUCACCCAGUCCAACCUUGGCUUUAAGGUUUGCAAAGCCCACACCUGACUUGGAGCACCUCCUGGGAUGGGGCACCCACAGGCCCCUGGGCUGCAGUGCCAGGGCCUCACUGCCUCAUAGCAAAGAAUUUCUUCUGUACAUCCAAUAUAAAUCCAUCCUCUUUCAGCUGAAAACCGUUGUCGCUUGCCCUGUCACUACAGGCCCUGGUAAAUAAUACUCUCUGUAACUUUCCUUUGUGCCCUGUUAGGUUCUGGCAAGCCUAACAGGAGAGGUGCUCCAGCCUCCUGAGCAUCUUUGUGGCCUCCUCCGGCCCUGCUCCAACAGCUCCACAACAGCCUUACACAGGGCUCCAGAGCUGGGUGCAGCCCCCCAGGUGGAGUCUUAGAGCCUAAUGCUUUUUACCAAGAAGGAUUUGUCAGCUGUGAUUAACUCCCUGCUCUUCAACACAGUAACAUCUAUCUGUCUGCUUAAGCCACCUGAGGGGACCGCAGCAGGCCGCGGCCUUCGGCACAGGCUGUGGUAGGCAUCAAAACCCAUGAAAUCCCUUCUUGUGGAGUCCCCAGUGCCUGAAAAUAAAGUAUUUCUGGAUCUUU
Numida meleagris (helmeted guineafowl) is the source of this 7579-nucleotide RNA transcript. It is a transcript of the gene named chromosome 6 C14orf105 homolog, with no coding region annotated. The transcript has 7 exons. The record is from RefSeq and is a predicted model, not a curated record. NCBI's taxonomy places the organism in Eukaryota, Metazoa, Chordata, Aves, Galliformes, Numididae.